GUGGGGAAUCUUGCGCAAUGGGCGAAAGCCUGACGCAGCCAUGCCGCGUGAAUGAUGAAGGUCUUAGGAUUGUAAAAUUCUUUCACCGGGGACGAUAAUGACGGUACCCGGAGAAGAAGCUCCGGCUAACUUCGUGCCAGCAGCCGCGGUAAUACGAAAGGGGCUAGCGUUGCUCGGAAUUACUGGGCGUACAGGGCGCGUAGGCGGACAGCUUAGUCAGAGGUGAAAGCCCAGGGCUCAACCUUGGAAUUGCCUUUGAUACUGGCUGUCUUGAGUUUGGGAGAGGUGAGUGGAACUCCGAGUGUAGAGGUGAAAUUCGUAGAUAUUCGGAAGAACACCAGUGGAGAAGGCGACUCACUGGCCCAAUACUGACGCUGAGGCGCGAAAGCGUGGGGAGCAAACAGGAUUAGAUACCCUUGUAGUCC
Molecule: ribosomal RNA, 425 nt
Filed under: uncultured bacterium
Lineage: Bacteria
Description: partial 16S ribosomal RNA
Rfam family: Bacterial small subunit ribosomal RNA
Source: RNAcentral